UAGCUCUCGGAGUAACGAGUGGCGCACGGGUGCGUAACACGUAUGCAACCUACCCUUUAGAGGAGGAUAGUCAUUGGAAACGAUGAAUAAUACCCCAUGUUAUUAUAAGAUCGCAUGGUCUAAUAAUCAAAGCUCCGGCGCUAAAGGAUGGGCAUGCGUCCCAUUAGCUAGUUGGUAAAGUAACGGUUUACCAAGGCAACGAUGGGUAGCUGGUCUGAGAGGAUGAUCAGCCACACGGGCACUGAGACACGGGCCCGACUCCUACGGGAGGCAGCAGUAAGGAAUAUUGGUCAAUGGGGGCAACCCUGAACCAGCCAUGCCGCGUGCAGGACGACGGCCCUCUGGGUUGUAAACUGCUUUUAUCUGGGAAUAAUUCGCUUCUAUACGAAGUUUUGUAGGUACCAGAAGAAUAAGCACCGGCUAACUACGUGCCAGCAGCCGCGGUAAUACGUAGGGUGCAAGCGUUGUCCGGAUUUAUUGGGUUUAAAGGGUGCGCAGGCGGCUUUUUAAGUUAGUGGUGAAAGCGUCCAGCUUAACUGGAUACCCGCCAUUGAUACUGGGAAGCUUGAGUCCGUCUGAGGAGAUUAGAAUGCGUGGUGUAGCGGUGAAAUGCAUAGAUAUCACGCAGAAUACCGAUUGCGAAGGCAGGUCUCUAAGGCGGAACUGACGCUGAGGCACGAAAGCGUGGGUAGCGAACAGGAUUAGAUACCCUGGUAGUCCACGCUGUAAACGAUGAUCACUAGAUGUUCGGCAGCAAUGCUGAGUGUCCAAGCGAAAGCGAUAAGUGAUCCACCUGGGGAGUACGUUCGCAAGAAUGAAACUCAAAGGAAUUGACGGGGGCCCGCACAAGCGGUGGAGCAUGUGGUUUAAUUCGAUGAUACGCGAGGAACCUUACCUGGGCUACAAUGCCUCUGACAGACGCCGAAAGGUGUUUUUCCUUCGGGACAGAGUGCAAGUGCUGCAUGGUUGUCGUCAGCUCGUGC
RNAcentral lists this ribosomal RNA (983 nucleotides) under uncultured bacterium. RNAcentral's name for it is "bacterial SSU rRNA". It matches the Rfam family "Bacterial small subunit ribosomal RNA", at positions 77 to 1065 of the family's 1533-position model. The record is from RNAcentral.